GAUGAACGCUAGCGGGAGGCUUAACACAUGCAAGUCGAGGGGCAGCAUAGGGUAGCAAUACUCUGAUGGCGACCGGCAAACGGGUGAGUAACGCGUAUGUAACCUACCCUGUACAGGGGGAUAACCCGGAGAAAUUCGGACUAAUAUCCCAUAACAAUAUCCGGGGGCAUCUUUGGAUAUUUAAAGUUCCGGCGGUACGGGAUGGGCAUGCGUAACAUUAGCUAGUUGGUAAGGUAACGGCUUACCAAGGCUAUGAUGUUUAGGGGUCCUGAGAGGGUGGUCCCCACACUGGUACUGAGACACGGACCAGACUCCUACGGGAGGCAGCAGUGAGGAAUAUUGGUCAAUGGGCGCAAGCCUGAACCAGCCAUCCCGCGUGCAGGAAGACGGCCCUAUGGGUUGUAAACUGCUUUUCCAGGGAGAGAAACUUACGCACGUGUUGCGUGACUGACGGUACCUGGGAAUAAGCAUCGGCUAACUCCGUG
This 485-nucleotide ribosomal RNA is filed under the name uncultured bacterium. RNAcentral's name for it is "bacterial SSU rRNA". It matches the Rfam family "Bacterial small subunit ribosomal RNA", at positions 28 to 507 of the family's 1533-position model. The record is from RNAcentral.